RNAcentral lists this unclassified non-coding RNA (337 nucleotides) under soil metagenome. Its description in RNAcentral is "partial contains 5.8S ribosomal RNA, internal transcribed spacer 2, and large subunit ribosomal RNA". The stretch from base 1 to 120 matches the Rfam family "5.8S ribosomal RNA", at positions 35 to 154 of the family's 154-position model. The record is from RNAcentral.
GAUGAAGAACGUAGCGAAAUGCGAUAAGUAAUGUGAAUUGCAGAAUUCAGUGAAUCAUCGAAACUUUGAACGCACAUUGCGCCCGCCAGUAUUCUGGCGGGCAUGCCUGUUCGAGCGUCAUUUCAACCAUCAAGCCCCCCGGCUUGUGUUGGGGACCUGCGGCUGCCGCAGGCCCUGAAAAGCAGUGGCGGGCUCGCUGUCACACCGAGCGUAGUAGAUCUCAUCUCGCUCAGGGCGUGCUGCGGGUUCCGGCCGUUAAACCACCUUCAUAACCCAAGGUUGACCUCGGAUCAGGUAGGAAGACCCGCUGAACUUAAGCAUAUCAAUAAGCGGAGGA